RNAcentral lists this unclassified non-coding RNA (285 nucleotides) under Hevea brasiliensis (rubber tree). Lineage: Eukaryota; Viridiplantae; Streptophyta; Magnoliopsida; Malpighiales; Euphorbiaceae. The record is from RNAcentral.
CCAGCACCAGACUGGCCGAAGACGAAGUUGUCAGGCCUGAAAAUCUGACCAUAAGGACCAGAUCUGAUGCUAUCCAUGGUACCAGGUUCCAAAUCCAUGAGCACAGCACGAGGGACAAAGCGACCACAACUGGCCUCAUUGUAGUAUACAUUGAUUCUUUCCAGCUGAAGAUCUGAGCAGCCCUGGUGGUAGCGACCAGUUGAGUCUAUGCCGUGCUCCGCGCAGACAACUUCCCAGAACUUAGCUCCGAUUUGGUUACCGCAUUGGCCCCCUUGGAUGUGUAGG